This 1865-nucleotide long non-coding RNA is filed under the name Panax ginseng (ginseng). RNAcentral describes it as "long non-coding RNA (PGIN_LNC017407)". Lineage: Eukaryota; Viridiplantae; Streptophyta; Magnoliopsida; Apiales; Araliaceae. The record is from RNAcentral.
AAAUCGUCACCGCUCGGAGACGCACAAGGGCUUUGUCCUCCCAAAUCAGAAAUCGCCACCGCUCUCGCCGUCUCCGAGCUCUUUCUUGUCUGCCGCUGGGUUCCACCUCCCACGUCCGCUUUGACAAUUCUAGUGUUAACUCGACCAAAUCUUUCUGGAUUAAUGGCAUAAUUUGCCUUUUAUGGAUCAGAAAAUAUUCAAUUCGACGGGGAAGAACAUUUUGAUUAAAGAGGAGAGUGAAAAUGAGUUAAGAUCUUCAUUUCAAUCCAAAGAAAGGAUAAGUUCAGCAGCAAAAGAUGUUAAUUUAGGUUUUGGAGAGAGAGCAUUUUCUGCCGCCGGUGCUGCUGUUCUCUCCGCCGUCAUCGUUAACCCCCUCGACGUCGCCAAGGUCUCUAUGUACUAUAUUCUCUGUCAUUUGUUAUAUGCAAAUUGCAAUUGGAUUUAAUUUAGUGUUUAUACUGAUUUGAUUAGUUGUUUUUCAUUUCUGUACUGUUAUAUCAAGCUUGUAUUGGUUUUUGUAUAUUUUUAUGCACUUGGUAGUUCUGAGUCAUUUUUGUUAUUCCUCUGCUGCUGUUGAACUCUAGCCUCAAUUGUUUGAAUGGUGUUAGUUUUUUUGCUUGUUUUCAUUUUAUUUGCCAAAUGUCCCAAAAUGCUGAGACAAACGAGCUAAAAAUUUUAAGGUUGGAAUAUCCUAAAAAUGUUAAGCUAACUGAGCUAAAAUUUAUAUGUUUGGUUCUUUUAGAGUUAGAGCCUAAAGUAGUCUGCUAUUGAGAUUUUGUUGAGAUGUUCAGGAGCUCUGCAUAGUGAAAAUAUUACUGGUCUAUAAAGUUUGAGAUGGGGCUUGGUGGUAUUAAAUUUUAACAAAAUUGGUUUUGAUGGCAUAAAGUUUUACAGAAUAUUACAUUAAACUUUAAGAAAUAAGUUUUUUGGUGUUUUACCUAAUCACACUUCAAUCAAUGUUAUAAAAAGCGGGAGGCUGGAGGCGGCCUAGUGCCUAGGGGGCCUGGGCGGGAUUUUUUAUUUUAAGCUAAUUUUAAUAUUUUAUCUUACAUUUAUCCAAACAAAACAAUAAUAUAAAGCAAAACAACCUAUAAUAAAGAUAAUAAAGGCCUUUGUUUAAAAUUCAAACACAUAUCCAUAUUGUUAAUGUCAAAGUUCAAAUACAAACAUGCAAUUGUUCAAAGUUCAAACAUAGUUUUAACGUAUUAGUUUUAUUCAUAAAUAAGAUUGCUAUUAAAUAAUAAAAUUUAAAAUUUUAAGAAUUUAAUUCAAUAUUAAAACUUAAGAAACGAAACAUAAAUUUAAAUAUUAUAUUGAAUUAAACUAAAUAUUACAAAUGUAUCAUCAUUUAUAUAAUUUAAAGUUGGUACAAGUUCAAAAAAUUACAACUAUAAUAAAAUUAUCGAUUUUGACUUGAUAUUGUUCACUUCUUGUUGUGAUUUGAUAUGCUACAAUCUAUAUUAUGAAUAUGGUAAAUUAUUAGAAAAAUAAAUAUAUCAAGAUCUGGUUUGAGUAGUUAUUAAAAUAAAAUAAAAAAAGUCUUCAUCUAGACCCCGUCUAAUUUUUUAGAGUGAUUUUUUUGCCGCCUUGGCCCUAGGUGAGGUGUCAGGAGGGCCUAACACCUAGGCGAGGCCUAGCACCUAGGCGAGGCGCCAAAGUGGGACCUAGCACCUAGACGGGACGCCAAGGGGGGGCCUAGCGCCUAGGCGGACCUAAGCGAGGAUUUUUAGAACACUGACUUCAAUAAAGACAAAGGUCAUUUACUGACCGACCAGAGCCCUAUUGAUGAAUGAAUGAAUGAAAGGGUUUACGAGGCGUUUUUAAUGCUUUCGAAGGCAUGGCUUUAUCUUAUAAAUAGAGCAAGA